Molecule: ribosomal RNA, 429 nt
Filed under: Actinomycetes bacterium
Lineage: Bacteria; Bacillati; Actinomycetota; Actinomycetes
Description: Actinobacteria bacterium partial 16S ribosomal RNA
Rfam family: Bacterial small subunit ribosomal RNA
Source: RNAcentral
UAGGGAAUCUUCCGCAAUGGGCGAAAGCCUGACGGAGCAACGCCGCGUGAGUGAUGAAGGUCUUCGGAUCGUAAAACUCUGUUAUUAGGGAAGAACAAAUGUGUAAGUAACUAUGCACGUCUUGACGGUACCUAAUCAGAAAGCCACGGCUAACUACGUGCCAGCAGCCGCGGCAAUACGUAGGUGGCAAGCGUUAUCCGGAAUUAUUGGGCGUAAAGCGCGCGUAGGCGGUUUUUUAAGUCUGAUGUGAAAGCCCACGGCUCAACCGUGGAGGGUCAUUGGAAACUGGAAAACUUGAGUGCAGAAGAGGAAAGUGGAAUUCCAUGUGUAGCGGUGAAAUGCGCAGAGAUAUGGAGGAACACCAGUGGCGAAGGCGACUUUCUGGUCUGUAACUGACGCUGAUGUGCGAAAGCGUGGGGAUCAAACAGG